UGUUCUUUCCAUAGUGGUGUGACAAGUACUUUUCAAUUCAAUUUGUUCAGUGUUAGCUUAGGAAAGCCACAAGAUCCCUUCUAGCUCUAAAACUUUCUUCUUUCUGUUUUUGUAAUAUAAUGUUCUAAUCCAAAGAUAACCUCUAGAAAAUUGAGUCUCAACUCGAAAAUGAAGAUAAUAAGGCUAAAGAUAGUCCCGACAAUGUAAAUCUUUCCUAAAGAGCUCUACAAGGAAGGUUUAUGAAAAUCUUGAGAAUAAAAAUGCAGAAUAAUCAUAUCUUUAUAGAUGGUAUCAAGAUGAAGAAAUUGUAUGAAGAGAAGCAAGAAACCAAAUACUGGGGGAUAUAUUGCACAAGUGUGACUUCAAGAAACCCAAGCCAGUGCAAACAACUCAAAAAAUAACGGAACCAAAGACAGCGAACCUUUCAGGAAAGCUAUGGACAUUUAUCCCCUCUGCUAUCAUUUAUGUUUCUGUAGUCAAGGUUCAGUUAUAUCGCAGUUGAGACAACUCCCUAGAAACAAUGAUCCCUGCUAAAGCUGCUCUAGGAGCACAGGAAUUCCUUUGAUGAGCUCUAAGAGAUUGGUAACAAUACCUCCUGAAGGGCCAUGUUGCUAGGUAACAGCUUGUUUCCUUGGUCACGGUGAAUCCAUGGAAGACCCCCAGAAGAUGCUGCAGAUUCUUGGUGGACAGCUCUGGUAUCCCAUCCAAGGAACAUGAUGAAAAAUGUCUUCAGAAAAAUAGCUUUAUGAAGGGAGUUUUUGCACCCACAAGACAUGUCUGGAAGAUCCUCAGGUCAAAAUACAAGUAGUCGAGAGAUUUGUCCAUCUAAUUCAUCAUACUACUCUGAUCCAAGUGAGACCCACAUUGGAUCAGCUCCAUCAAGGAGAGGAAUAUUUCACCCACGUUUGGAUUCUGGAAUAUCAUCCCUGCUUCCUUCAGAUUCUCGUAAGCACCUCACUUGGCACAAGGUAGAACAACAUGACAUUCAAGGAGGUCAACUGCGUUGCCCAAGAGUAAGAGAAGGACCCUCUGAAGAAGAGCACCUUUUCAGAUAGCUAGUGUGUGCCUUGCCCCCAAGGAAAAGAGUUCCUGAAGAAAACAAAUGGGAAACACAGCUACAAGAAAACUGGGAAGACUGCAAGGUGAGAACUUAAAAAAAAAAAAAAAAAAAAAAAAAAAAAAAAAAACUUUUUUUUUUCCCUAGUCUUUGUUACUAUUGAAGUCUAUUUUGUAAGAGACAAAAGUUACAACUCCUGUUUUUUUUUUUUUUUUUUUUGCUUAUUUUUUCCACUUUUUUUUUUAAAGGCAUACAUAACAAAACUUUUAGCAUCUCUUCAGAGCUUUCUCUACAACUCAGUGCUUGGACUUCUCUAUUACUUCUUCCUCCAUUCUUUUCAUCAUGAUAUGCUACAUGUUUUCUAACUUUUAUUUUAACAUGAUAUUGCUGAAAUUUGACAAAAAGUUUAAAAUACUUGGGAACAAAAUUGUUAAUUUUUUUAAAAAAGUCAAAUGGACAAUCCAUAUCAAUGAGUUUAUGAUGCAAUCUGGAAUCCUUUGAACAAUGCAUCAGGAUGAAACUUUUGAGCAGCCAGCUCAAAUCUAUCCUGGAACAAAUCAAAUUUUUCCACCAGUGAGGGAGCCGGAUUGUCAUUUCCAGGUGCUGAAAGUCACCCUGCUGACUGAGCCACGAGCACUGAAACAUCCCCUGCAGUUAGUCAGCCUGACCACUAUAAAGCUGUGGCGCUGUCACUACUUCACGCUUCUGAUUCCAGCUGGAUCAAAUCAUGCUUAGGCAGAGGACUGAAGAAUUAACUGGGAAAGACAAGUGUUGCUGGCAAUUAAAAGAAUAAGUCAACUACUUCACAACAGAGUGAGAGGCUGAUAUUUUUGUACCAAGGGAUAGAAUUAUACUUGAAAAGUUUAAGAAGCCUUCCAGAAACGAAACAGGCUUUAAAACUCUUUGUUGGCAGACUCCACGUUUGGAUCCCCUUCAAGGAACAGUCCCUUGGUGGAAGCCGCUUUUCUCUCUCCUGGGUUUCCCCUCUGGGGUCCCCUUCCACACACUCUCGUGGAAGCCUGUCUUCCCUCCUAAUCUCCAUCUCUCUAUUCCUUCCACUCAGUGUGGAAGCUGCUUUCCUCUCCUGGAUUCCAUCUUUCUGGAUUCUCUCACUCAGUGUGAGUCAGCGGUUUCUCUCUCCUUCUCCUGUUUCUCUCCCUAAAUGACUUUCUACAAAAAAAAAAUAAAAAAUAAAACUCUUUGUUGAGGACUCUUGAUGCCUCCUUUGCUUCACAGACUUAUAUACCAUAGAAUUAUAAACUUAGGGGAUAGGAAGGAGCUUUAGAGAGGGUCUGGUUUAAAUUUCUUGUUUUAUAGAAAGGAAAAGGAAGUCCAGAAAGAAAACUGACUUGCCCAAAGUUAUGCAAUUUUUCAGGGAAUGAUAAAAAAAAUGGAAUACCAUGUCCCAGUAUGGUUCUGUCUUUUCAAAUUAAGUUUUCAUAUAUAAUGAAUGGAUACAAUCUAAUAAAAAU
RNAcentral lists this long non-coding RNA (2529 nucleotides) under Aotus nancymaae (Ma's night monkey). RNAcentral describes it as "lncRNA (ENSANAG00000039015.1)". Lineage: Eukaryota; Metazoa; Chordata; Mammalia; Primates; Aotidae. The record is from RNAcentral.